UAAAAAAACUUUUUACCGAAGACAGUAGGGGAUUCGUCUUAAUAAUCCUACCGAGGGAAGUUAUAAAUAAUCUUUAUACUUUCCUUACGGAAAGUUUUUUUAU
This 103-nucleotide small RNA is filed under the name human gut metagenome. RNAcentral's name for it is "Ribosomal protein L10 leader". It matches the Rfam family "Ribosomal protein L10 leader". Rfam says of the family: This family is a putative r-protein leader autoregulatory structure found in B. subtilis and other low-GC Gram-positive bacteria. It is located in the 5' untranslated regions of mRNAs encoding ribosomal proteins L10 and L12 (rplJ-rplL). The record is from RNAcentral.